Erinaceus europaeus (western European hedgehog) is the source of this 112-nucleotide ribosomal RNA. Lineage: Eukaryota; Metazoa; Chordata; Mammalia; Eulipotyphla; Erinaceidae. The record is from Ensembl.
GUCUACAACCAUACCACCCUGAGCAUGCUCGAUCUUGUCUGAUCUCAGAAGCUAAGCAGGGUCAGGCUUGGUUAGUACUUGGAUGGGAGAGAGGAGGAGAGAAAGAUAGACA